This 1503-nucleotide ribosomal RNA is filed under the name uncultured prokaryote. Its description in RNAcentral is "partial 16S ribosomal RNA". It matches the Rfam family "Bacterial small subunit ribosomal RNA". The record is from RNAcentral.
AGAGUUUGAUCCUGGCUCAGAUUGAACGCUGGCGGCAUGCCUAACACAUGCAAGUCGAACGGUAACGACGGGAGCUUGCUCCCGGGCGACGAGUGGCGGACGGGUGAGUAAUACUUAGGAAUCUGCCCAGUAGUGGGGGACAACUCGAGGAAACUCGAGCUAAUACCGCGCAUACGCCCUACGGGGGAAAGCGGGGGAUCUUCGGACCUCGCGCUAUUGGAUGAGCCUAAGUCGGAUUAGCUUGUUGGUGAGGUAAAAGCUCACCAAGGCGACGAUCCGUAGCUGGUCUGAGAGGACGAUCAGCCACACUGGGACUGAGACACGGCCCAGACUCCUACGGGAGGCAGCAGUGGGGAAUAUUGGACAAUGGGGGCAACCCUGAUCCAGCCAUGCCGCGUGUGUGAAGAAGGCCUUAGGGUUGUAAAGCACUUUCAGUAGGGAGGAAAAGUUAGUCGUUAAUAACGGCUAACCCUGACGUUACCUACAGAAGAAGCACCGGCAAACUCCGUGCCAGCAGCCGCGGUAAUACGGAGGGUGCGAGCGUUAAUCGGAAUUACUGGGCGUAAAGAGUACGUAGGUGGUUAAAUCAGUCGGAUGUGAAAGCCCCAGGCUUAACUUGGGAAUUGCAUUCGAUACUGUUUGACUAGAGUACAGUAGAGAGAAGCGGAAUUCCUAGUGUAGCGGUGAAAUGCGUAGAUAUUAGGAAGAACACCAGUGGCGAAGGCGGCUUCUUGGAUUGAUACUGACACUGAGGUAAGAAAGAGUGGGGAGCAAACAGGCUUAGAUCCACUGGUCGUCCACGCCCUAAACGAUGAGAACUAGAUGUUGGAGGAAUAAUCCUUUAGUAUCGUAGCUAACGCGAUAAGUUCUCCGCCUGGGGAGUACGGCCGCAAGGUUAAAACUCAAAUGAAUUGACGGGGGCCCGCACAAGCGGUGGAGCAUGUGGUUUAAUUCGAUGCAACGCGAAGAACCUUACCUGGCCUUGACAUCCUUGGAAUUUCGCAGAAACGUGAAAGUGCCUUCGGGAGCCAAGAGACAGGUGCUGCAUGGCUGUCGUCAGCUCGUGUUGUGAAAUGUUGGGUUAAGUCCCGCAACGAGCGCAACCCCUAUCCUUAUUUGCCAGCGAGUUAUGUCGGGAACUCUAAGGAGACUGCCGGUGAUAAACCGGAGGAAGGUGGGGAUGAUGUCAAGUCAUCAUGGCCCUUAUGGGUAGGGCUACACACAUGCUACAAUGGUCAGUACAAAGGGUCGCGAAGCCGCGAGGUGGAGCUAAUCCCAAAAAGCUGUUCGUAGUCCGGAUUGGAGUCUGCAACUCGACUCCAUGAAGUCGGAAUCGCUAGUAAUCGUGAAUCAGAACGUCGCGGUGAAUACGUUCCCGGGCCUUGUACACACCGCCCGUCACACCAUGGGAGUGAAUUGUACCAGAAGCGGGUAGGCUAACCGAAAGGGGGCCGCUCACCACGGUAUGCUUCAUGACUGGGGUGAAGUCGUAACAAGGUAGCC